CUGUAAACGAUGGGCACUAGAUGCUCGUUCUUUUGAAUGGGUGUCGUAGUUAACGCGUUAAGUGCCCCACCUGGGGACUCCGUUCGCAAGACUAAAACUCAAAGGAAUUGACGGGGGCCUGCACAAGCGGUGGAACACGUGGUUUAUUCGAUGCUACGCGAGGAACCUUACCAGGGGCUGACAUGCUGGAAGUAGCCACCCGAAAGGAUUGGCCACCUGUAACCAAUCAGGAACCAGUGCAGGUGCUGCAUGGCUGUCGUCAGCUCGUGCCGUGAGGUGUUCCCUUAAGUGGGAAAACGAGCGCAACCCUCGUCCUUAGUUGCCACCUUCGAGUAAUCGGAGCGCCUCUAAGGAGACUGCCCGCGUUAAGUGGGAGGAAGGUGAGGAUGACGUCAAGUCCGCAUGGCCCUUAUGCCCUGGGCUACACACGCGUUACAAUGGCGCAUACAAUGGGGGGCUAAGCCGCAAGGUGGAGCAAAUCCUAUAAAGUGUGCCUCAGUUCGGAUUGAGGNNNNCAAUUCGCCCUCAUGAAGCUGGAAUCGCUAGUAAGUG
RNAcentral lists this ribosomal RNA (552 nucleotides) under uncultured bacterium. Its description in RNAcentral is "bacterial SSU rRNA". It matches the Rfam family "Bacterial small subunit ribosomal RNA", at positions 800 to 1344 of the family's 1533-position model. RNAcentral also lists the same sequence under 1 other name. The record is from RNAcentral.